UAUCUUAGUGGCGGACGGGUGAGUAACGCGUGGGUAACCUGCCUUACACUGGGGGAUAACACUUAGAAAUAGGUGCUAAUACCGCAUAACAGGAGAAGACGCAUGUCUUUUCCUUGAAAACUCCGGUGGUGUAAGAUGGACCCGCGUCUGAUUAGCUGGUUGGCGGGGUAACGGCCCACCAAGGCGACGAUCAGUAGCCGGCCUGAGAGGGUGAACGGCCACAUUGGGACUGAGACACGGCCCAAACUCCUACGGGAGGCAGCAG
This 265-nucleotide ribosomal RNA is filed under the name uncultured bacterium. RNAcentral's name for it is "partial 16S ribosomal RNA". It matches the Rfam family "Bacterial small subunit ribosomal RNA", at positions 88 to 354 of the family's 1533-position model. The record is from RNAcentral.